AUAAAAAUCUAUCAAACAAUUCAAGUAGCAAUAAUAAAACGCAUUGUCAUUUUAUGUUUACACUUAUUGAAGUUUGUACUAUUGAUUGUACAUUUGUUUGAAGUGUUUGAAUAUACAUUUUAUACUAAAAAGAAAAGAACAUCAAAUUAAAAAUGGGUAUUAUUAAACGUUUCCGUGCUCAAAUAUUGAUACAAAAAGCUUCGUCUAGAAAAUCGAUUGCCCCUGAAUUUUAUCGAAGAAUAUCACAAACUGCAUCACAAUCGCAGAAAAACAUAAAUAACAAUAUAAAUAACAAGAAAACUAUUAGCACUGAUAUUAAACAAUCCAAGUCUUCAUCCUAACAAUAGAAAAAUAAGAUAAAGUAAAAAGUUAUUUGCAUUGGAUUCAAUAUGUCGAAUAAUCUAGACUAUUAGACAUAAAAUCUUCUGCAUGAUGUAGAUAAAUUAAAUUACUAUAUACGCUUAAUCUCUACAGAUAUGAAUCAUAUAUGAUAUUAUAUAAAUUAUUAUUAAUAUAUUAUUGCUGAUUAACAACUGUAAUAUGUACUUUAAUUUAUACUAUAAAAAUCGUGUCAUAACAUAAAAUUGCAAUAAAAUAUACUUUACUUACCUAGCAAGUUUUGCAAGAGGAAAGUGAAUGCACAAUUUUUGAUAAAAUUCACAAAAUUCCUUAUAUGAUCGGAAUAAAUAAGUAGGAUCUGCAUGACCUUUUCGUUGUAUACGCAAGAUAUACAUAUAAUAUUUUUCAGGAUCAUAUCGUUUUUGGUAGCCAUGCACUUGAACACUUGUUAACUGACCUUCCUGCUGCAUUCUA
Bombus terrestris (buff-tailed bumblebee) is the source of this 813-nucleotide long non-coding RNA. RefSeq lists it as uncharacterized. The transcript has 2 exons. Lineage: Eukaryota; Metazoa; Arthropoda; Insecta; Hymenoptera; Apidae. The record is from RefSeq and is a predicted model, not a curated record.